AAACUAUUUAUGCCACGAUAUUAAAGUUUAUCCCAAAGACCACACGCUUAGUGUACUUAAACGUUUGUGGUCGCUCGAUUUCCGUCGGUCUUGGGAACUAGUGCAAUUUACCACACGCUCUUUCACUAUUCUCACACAGAGUUCCGCGAAUUAUUUGAUAGUUUUCUACUCCGAAAUUGCUCUUCAAAGGUACCACUCCCAGUUCUAAUUAUUUCAAAUCCUUUU
This is a non-coding RNA of Cinara cedri, 225 nucleotides long. Lineage: Eukaryota; Metazoa; Arthropoda; Insecta; Hemiptera; Aphididae. The record is from the annotation of a GenBank genome assembly.